RNAcentral lists this ribosomal RNA (508 nucleotides) under uncultured bacterium. Its description in RNAcentral is "bacterial SSU rRNA". It matches the Rfam family "Bacterial small subunit ribosomal RNA", at positions 16 to 518 of the family's 1533-position model. The record is from RNAcentral.
AUUAUGGCUCAGGAUGAACGCUAGCGACAGGCCUAACACAUGCAAGUCGAGGGGCAGCACAAGGAGCAAUCUGGGGUGGCGACCGGCGCACGGGUGAGUAACACGUAUGCAACCUGCCUGUAAGCGGGGAAUAACCCGUUGAAAGACGGACUAAUACCGCAUAAUACUAAAUUACUGCAUGGUAAUUUAUUUAAACAUUUAUGGCUUACAGAUGGGCAUGCGCAUGAUUAGCUAGUUGGAGAGGUAACGGCUCCCCAAGGCAACGAUCAUUAGGGGUUCUGAGAGGAAGGUCCCCCACACUGGUACUGAGACACGGACCAGACUCCUACGGGAGGCAGCAGUGAGGAAUAUUGGUCAAUGGACGAGAGUCUGAACCAGCCAAGUCGCGUGCAGGAAGAAAUGUCCUAUGGAUUGUAAACUGCUUUUGCAGGGGAAUAAAGUGAGCCACGUGUGGUUUUUUGUAUGUACUCUGCGAAUAAGGAUCGGCUAACUCCGUGCCAGCAGCCGC